AUUCCAGCUCCAAUAGCGUAUAUUUUCGUUGUUGCAGUUAAAAAGCUCGUAGUUGAAUUUCUGGUGGGAAGAUGCGGACGGCCUCAUGGCUUGUUCCAAGUCUUCCGGCCAUCCUUGGGUGGAGCUCGUCUGGCAUUAAGUUGUCGGGCGGGGGAUGCCCAUCGUUUACUGUGAAAAAAUUAAAGUGUUCAAAGCAGACUUAUGUCGUUGAAUAUAUUAGCAUGGAAUAAUAAGAUAGGACAGCAGUGCUAUUUUGUUGGUUUGCGCACCGUUGUAAUGAUGAAUAGGGACAGUUGUGGGUAUUUAUAUUCACUUGUAAGAGGUGAAAUUCUUAGAUUAAGGGAAGAUAAACUACUGCGAAAGCAUUUACCAAGGAUGUUUUCAUUA
Molecule: ribosomal RNA, 387 nt
Filed under: Chaetoceros sp.
Lineage: Eukaryota; Bacillariophyta; Thalassiosirophyceae; Chaetocerotales; Chaetocerotaceae
Description: partial small subunit ribosomal RNA
Rfam family: Eukaryotic small subunit ribosomal RNA
Source: RNAcentral